CAGUCAGCAAAUAUAAAUAUAACAAGUCUUAUUUGUUUAAUGAAUUUAUAAAAUAUAAAGGCUUUUCUCUGAAUUAUAAAAAAAGGCUUUUUAUGGCAAUUCUAUUAGUUUUCUACUGCAAUGUAACAAAUCACUGCACAUUUAGAUGAUUAAAAACCACAUAAAUGUAUUAUCUCAGUAGGUCAAAAGUCAACCUUAGGUCUCAGCAGGUGAAAUCAGGUGUCAGCAGGCUGUGUUCUCAUCUGGAGCUUGGGUCUCUCUUCCAAGCUCAUUCAGGUUGUUGACAGAUUUCAGUUCCUCUCAAGACUAAAGUUCCCAUUUUCCUGCUGAAUUUGGGUCAGGUGUGGCUCUCAUUUCCGAGAAGCCACUCUCAGGUCGUAGCCCUCUUAAAACAGGACAUUUUAUUUCAAUGUCAGCAGAAGAAUCUUUCUUAUACUUUAAAUCCCUUGCUUCAGAAGGCUCAGUUCCUUGUAAGGGUUUACCUAAGUAGGUCAACAGCACCAAGGAAGAUUUCUCUUUUGAACUCAGUGCUAAUGAAUAUGGGACCUUAACCAUAUCCAUGAAUCCUUUCACUUUAGUCGUGUAAUAUAACUUAACCACGAGAGAGAAAUCCACGAGACAGAAUUCCUUUCCUCCUCAUACAAAAAGUAGACUAACAUAUAUAUGUGGACAUUAGAAAGGGAGAAUCAAGCUUGAGAGCCAGCUUAACAUUCUGACCACCACAGGUAUUUAUAAUAAUUUUAUUGUAAAGUUUAGCAAAUUCAUGAAACAUCAUAGCUUAAAGUGUCUUCAAUCAUUCAUUCUGGUGUUUUAAAAAAUAUAUGCUUUUUUCAACUGAAAAUAAUACUUUAUCUUUCUUGUAUAUCAGGUUUUACCGUAAGAUUUCCUUUUCAGAAAAGUAUUUUAAAAUUAUUGAUUUUGUCAGUCUCUAAGGAUGCAGAGAUGGGAGGUUACAAAGUUGUCCAGAAUAGAAAAAAAAGAAAUAAUGAAAAACAAAAAAAUUAAAAUUUAAUUAAAUGAAAAACAAAAAAAAACCAAAAACAAUGUUGUCCAGAAUGACUAUAUUGAAUAAUGACAGAACUAGGAUGGCCCCCAUAUCUCUGACACCCACCAGUGUUCUUAGUUCUUAUAAAAUAUAUCACAGAUUAUUUUAACUGAUAUAUGCAUAAUAAGGAUUGGAAAAUCAUAGCUACCAGAUUUAUAAACCAGAAGCAUUAAACGAACAUUUAUUUUAGAGUAGUUAAAAUACAUUUUCUAAUUUGAAUUCCUGCUCUGUCACUUAAUCUUGUGAACUUUGGCAAAUUCCCGAACCACUCAUUGCUUCAGUAUUUCUAUAUUGCUAAAAGAAAAAAAAAAAAAGUGGAAAGCAAUAAUAUUUAACUCUUGAAGAAUUGAAAUGACUGAAGGAAAGAUAUAUAUGUAAAGCAUUUAGAUUUGUCACCCACUUAAAAUUUGCAUUUUUAUUGUUGUUAUCCUUAUUGUAAUUAUUAGUUUUUAAUAGUUACCCAUUUCCCAUCAUACUUGAAAUCUUUCUAGGUUCAUAAGAGGAAUGGGUUAAAGCUUAGUUUUAGAAGUUGAAAUAAAAACACAAAGUAUAUAUCACUAGGAUAUAAACCUAUAAGAAAUGGAUUUUUUGUUUAGUUCGCUGCUGUUUUCUGUCUAUAAAAUGGUGCCUACUAUAUUUUGGAAUGAAUACAUGAUAAAAAGUGAAGUUAUACAAAUAAAAGUUUACUUGUCUUUAUCAUAAAGAGCUACCUAAAAAAUAUUUAAACUUACAGAUUUGAUAAAACAGGGAAUCAAUUUCCAUAAAUAAAUAUAAACAUAACUGUAUAUUUUCAAGCUAAACUGUUGGCAUCAACUGAAAUCUAAUAUCAGUUUCUCUCUUCUUUUCUUUUCCUCCAAUGAUAAUACAAUCCUACUGCCAUUUAUUAGGAAUUUAAAUACUAUAUUCACUUCUAUUGCUUUUUUUCCUAAGACUACAUAUGAAAUAUUGAGAUGAAAUUUAUAAAUGAUUAAACAAGUAUAACUAUUUUUAAUACUUUCUUAGGUGUCAGCAAUUCAAUCCCAAUAGUAUACUGUACUUUCCAUCUAGAUAUCCUAAGGAAAUGUCAAUUUUCAAAUUUAUCAUAUUUUUUCAAAGAUGCUAUAUCUCUUGCUGUGUGUCUUAAUGCUGUUAAUAAUAUAGAUGCUGAUAUCCCUCUAGGAGCUGGUGUCUGUCAUUUUUCUUCACUGCUAUAUAUCUAGCAGUUAACAAGGUAACUUCCAAAUAUCACUACUCAAUAAAUAUUUGCCAAGUGAGUGAAAGCUAUCAUCAUCCUAGUCAAUCAAGGUGGCAUUCCUCUGACAUUUGUAUCCAAUCCCUUCAACUUAUUCUAGUUUCUUCACCCAUUAAGCUAUUCCAUGACCCCAACACUUUUUUCUCUACCUAUCACCACUCACCUGUCUUUACUGAUUUCCUUUUCCAUAAAAUAUUUCAUCUAGAACAGAGGUCAAAAUUUGAAGGUUGGAACACAUUUUUUAAAAAGCACAAUUGUCCUUCUUUUAUAUAGCGGAUUCAUUUUACUUAGGAGCUCCCAUUAUCAAUGACAAUAGAUGAUGAACAGGAGGAAGGGCCUAUAAACUUGCCAAUUAGAGGACUCUAAUUACACAGGGUCAAAGACACUUUUUAGGAUGGUUUUAUAGGCCCUUAUACCUCCUGUCAUGACUUAAAGCUCCAGGGAUUGGGGGUGAUCUUUUCUCUCCUCCCAUCUGUGAAUGGUGGGUCACUGGGAAAACAAAUCCAUGUUAGUGUCAGGAGAAGCUUUGGAAAUAACUAUCGUCCAGUGUGUCACUGCUGGCCCCUGUGUCAGUGUUGCCUGUUACACUCACCAUUCGAAUUAGUCUCUACUGACGGGGUGAUUCUUACCUGCCUUACGGAAUGAUGCUUUCAUCUGUGGGUGAGCAAUUGGAGUUUCCAUUGCCUCGGUUUCUAGGGCUGCCCUCUCCGUAGUGUCUUUGCUAAAGUGAUCCUCCCACCUCAGCCAGCAGAGUAGCUAAGACUGCAGAUGUGCACCACCAAGCCUGGCUUUUUUUUUUUUUUUUUUUUUUUUUUUUUUUAAUUUUUGUAGAGACAUCCUUAUGUUGCCCAGGCUGGUCUCAAACUCCUGGGCUCCAGCGAUCCUACCACCUUGGCCUCCUGAAGUACUGGGAGUACAGGUGUGAGCCACUGUGCCUGGUUUCAGUGGACUCUUCACGUCAGACAUCUUCAGUCUGUGCAGCAGUCCAGACCAGAAACCUGGCAUAUGCUGUUUACACACAAGGGCUCCAAAGUCCCUUACUACUUUCUAGGACCCAGGCUGUCUUGUGGUAUUUUCUCUAAGUGUGUCUGAAAUGUUCAUUUAGUAUAUCCCUCAAAUGUGGCUAUCCUCAGGCUCUCUGAUGAUCUUGAAAUUACCAUGAUUAAUAAAAAUCUGCUCUGAAAAAUGUGUCCUCUUUCCACACUCUGUGAGACCCAGCCCUUGAAUAUGUUAUCAGGUACCUCUAAAACCUAUAACUGCCCCCACCCAAGCUUGCCAGCCUGGCCACACACGAGAGGUUUUGGAGGUUCCUCACAUUCAUUGGUAUGUUCUCUGCCAUAAAUGCUUAAUUAUUUUACACAUACAGAGUUUUUUUUUUUUUUGCCUCCCCCCCAUUAGCAUUGGCUCAAGCUUCAAGUACCAUACAAUGCUAAAUAGAAGUGCUGAAAAUAAACCACCAUAUUUUAUUUCUGAUUUCAAGGGAAAUUUUUAAUCAUUCAAUAGGCCACUUGCUUUAACUUUUUAAUAGGUAACUUUGUCACAUUAAGUUCCUUUCUGUUCCUACGUGGAAGCCGGGUGAGGCCUGUGACUGCUGGCUUUCCCCUACUUCCCUGGCAACCUGUAUAACUCAGCAGAGGCAGUCAUAGUCCUCCUGGAAACAAAACUCCAUUGGUCUGAGAACCACACCCCAAUCCCCCACAGCAGCUACAGCAAGCCCCACCCAAGGAGAGUCUGAGCUCAGCCUAUCCCUGACCCCACUUGAUGGUCUUUCUCUACCUGCCCUGGUUGCUGAAGACCAAGGACAUAAUCUCUUGAGAGCUCUAUGGCCUUGCCUACUGCCUGAGAAACCUGAAUAUUUAAACAGGCGAGUUUGCUUCCUCCCUAUACAAAAGCAGCUGAUGUGCUUUUGAAAGGGCCACCUUCAGGCUGGAGGCCAAAAAGAAACCACAAAACCAGUUCAUUAACCAAAAAUACAACCAAGGACCCUCAAAAAGUUCAUUCCCCUGCUACCUCCAUUGGAGCAGGUGCUGGUAUCUGUUAUGUGUGUGCCUAAUUGAAGAGAGUACCCAAUCAGCCUAACUGUGAGCAACAUGGCUAUUUACUCACUCGGGUGCAAGCGGGCUGAGUCUGAAAAGAGAGUCAGGGAAGGGUGGUGGGAGUGGAACUGGUUUUAUAGGUUUGGGGUAGGUAGUGGAAAGUUACAUUUAGGGGCAGAUUUUUCAGGCAGGGGAAGAAUGUCACAAGGUGCAUAGUCACAAGGUGGGGGGAGGUCACAAGGCACGAUAUCACAAGGUCGACUGAUUCCACAAUGGUGGAAUGUUGCAAGGUCUGUUAUCAGUUAAGGCAGGAACUAGCUGUUUCUUCAUCGUUAGUGGUUCUCCUGUUGCUCCAGGCUUUGUGACUCCAGGAGGCCUGUACGUGUGGGUCACAGGGGUCAUAAUGGGUGGGAGGGGGGUGAGGAAUAAAAGGCUAUUCAUCGUGUACAGCGUAUGCUUCUUGGGUGAUGGAUGCACCAAAAUCUCAGAAAUAACCAUAAAGAACUUAUUCAUGUAACCAAAUAUGACCUGUUCCUCAAAAACCUAUUGAAAUAAAAAAUUUUAAAAAAGAACACUGAUAAGUUUUUCUUUACCAUAGUCCAUGUGAAAAUAUUUAUAUUUCACUUUUCUUCUUAAAGCACAUUUAUGUUUUUCUCUUACUCAUUUCAUAGUUUGAGGUUUGCAGAUUUUUUUUUUAAUUUUUCAGUCCCCUGAAGGAAUCAAGAUAUUAUCUUCUGGUUGGCCUAAUUUCUGCUACAAAGCCAGUUGUCAGACUGGCUGUUAGGCUUUCGAAGGUAAUCUGAUUUUUGUUUGUUUGUUUAUGAUAUCUUUGAAGAUUUUCUUUUUACCUUUGGUUUUCAAAAGUUUUGUUGGUUUUUGAACAUACAUUUCUUUUUACACAUCUUAGUUGAUAUUUGUUGAGUGGCCAACAAACAUAUGAAAAAAAGCUCAUCAUCACUGAUCAUUAGAGAAAUGCAAAUCAAAACCACAAUGAGAUACCAUCUCAUGCCAGUCAGAACGGCCAUUAUUAAAAAGUCAAGAAACAAUAGAUGCUGGCGAAGCUGUGGAGAAACAGAAACGCUUUUACACUGUUUGUGGGAGAAUCCUUCUUCAAUUUACUUCUUUGGUCAGUUUGUGAGACUUUCUAGCCAUUACCUCUUUAAUUAUGACCUCUGCCCAUUUUCUGUCAUUAUUCGCUUUCUCUGAAUUGAAUUAAAUGUAUUUUAGAUUUUCUCAGUGUAUUUUCUAUAUUUCUUACCUGUCUUCUCUAUUUUUCAGUUUUCUCUGUACUUCUUUCUGUCCAUUUUUUUCUAAACUACUUUAUGUUCACUAAUUUCUUUCAGCAUGUCACAUCUGUUACUAAAUGUCAUUAAUGGGUGUGGUGUAUGUAAGAUUUACAUACAGUAGAAUACACAAGUUUAUAGUGUAUGGAUUGAUUAAAUUUAUCAAAAUUAUAUACCCUUACAGUGAAAAUCCACAAUGUAAGACAUUGUCCAGCACACCAGAAAGUUUUCACCUAUUUCCUUUCAGUCAAUGUCCUCUCUCAUGGUCAUUCAAUGUUUUGAUUUCUAUCUUCCUACACUAGUUUUGCUUAUUUUGAAUGUUAUAUAAAAUGAAUCACACAGUAAAUGUCAUCCUUUUGUGUCAUCCUUCUUUUGCUCAAUAUACGUUUGUGAUUCAUCCUUGCUGUCGCAUCAUUAGUUUAUUCUUUUUAUCGCAAAAUACUGUUCUUUGUAUGACUAUACCAUGACCUAGCUAUCCAUUCUCCUGGUUAAUGAAUAUGUGGGUGUUGUCUAGCUUUUAGUCAUUAUCAAAGGAUGUUUUAGACAUUAUGAAAUAAAUGUUUCUGUUCAGGUCAUAUUGUAGAUAUAGAUCUUUAUUUCACAUGAGUAUUCUUUUGAAAUUGAUAGUUAUAGAGUAAGUAUAUAUGUUUAAUUUUAUAAGAAAUAGCCAAACACUUUUCCCAAGUGGUUAUAACAUUUCACUCUUCCUCCAAUAAUAUAUAAAAAGUCUAGUUUCUCCAUAUCUUUGCCAAUAUUUGGUAUUAUCAAUCACAUGUUGUCAUUCAAGUAGGUAUGAAGUAGUAUAUCAUUAUAGUGGUAUAAACUUGUAUAUCUCUGUGGUCAGUAAUGAUGAGCACUCUCGUGCUUGUUGGUCAUUUACAUAUCUUCUUUUAUAAAGGAUUUAUUCAAAUAGUUUGUCUAUUUUGUCAAUUGGGUUGUUUUUCAUUUUACUGUAAAAUUAGAAAGGUUAUUUACAUAUUCUAAAUAUAAGUCUUUAGCUAGACUUAAGGUAUUGCAUUUUUUUUCUCUCAGUAUGGGACUUAGCUUUUCAUUUCUGGAACAGUGUUAUUUGAUUAACAAAUUUUAUAGUUCUGAUUAAAUCUAAUUUUUUAUGAUGAAUGCUUUUGGGUCUGAUUUAAGAAUUUUUUGUCUUCCCAAAGAUUGCAAAAUAUUGCACAAUUUGAUCAAGAAGUUUUAGAUUUCACUUUAGAUUCUCCUUGUAGAAUUUUAAUCCCCUUAUUACCUCAAAGUAAGGAUUAAAACAGAUUUUCUCUUUUUUGUUGACUGACAUGUAAUACGGUGUAUAUAUUUCUAUUUAUUUAGAUCUUUUUAAAUUUUUUUCAAACAUGUUUUAUGGAAGUCUAACAUCACCUUUUGUUCUACUUUUUACUAGAGUUUUGAUAUGUUUCAUGCUAUUUUAAGUAGUAUCUUUAAAAUUUAAUUUCUAAUUACAGCUAGUGAUAGUAAUGCAUACGAUUAUUGCUACCGACUCUGAAUCAUACAAACUUGACAAUUCACUUAGUACUUUAGGUUUCCUUCUUCUGAUCCCAUAGAUUAUUCCAUGCAAAAAUAGACAUUUUUGUUUGUUGUUGCUAGGCCUAAGGUUUUCAACAUUAAGUGUGAUAUUAGAUGUAUAAUUUCUGAAGUCAUAAAAUUAGUUUCUAAGCAAAGGAAAUAUUUAUUCCCUUAUUCAUUCACUCAGUAAGUCAUCAUUCAUUUAAAAUGUGAGGCAUAUGCAGAGAUGGAAAAGGCUUUGUCCUCAUGGAGUUGAUAUAAAGACAAGAGAUGGAGGAAAAGAUAAUAUGCAAUAAAUAAAAAGACAAGAUUAAGUGAUGUUAUAGUAAGUUACUAGUGUGGGAGUACUUGGGUACUUUUUUCCAAUCACAACUUUUUUUUUUUAAGAUAAGUAUUUUCUAUCUGCUAAAAUAUUGCCCUUGUCAUAUAUGCUCCACAUGGAUAAGAGUGUUUUCUAUCUGUCCUACUCAUGUGUCUAAUAAGUGAAAGAGUUCUACAGUGAUUUCAUGAGUAGAUGCAUAAUUUCUUUUUACUUGAAAGAUGAUUAUCAACAUAAUCAUAACCAUUUUAUAUGACUAUCAAAAUAAUAUUUAUUUUUCAGAAAAUAGCUAAAAUAUAUUCUAUUAAUAUUUAUUUGGAAAGCUUUGUCUGAGAAAGCAUCACUAGGUACUCACUCCUAACAGAAUACUUAGUUUGUGCCAUCUAUAGCAUUUCAUUACAGCUUUGUAAAUACCUACUGAACAAAUUCUAAGCUCUUUGAAGUUGAAACCCAGACAAUGGCUGAUAAGUAGUGGGUGUUCCAUAGAUGUAUGUUUAAUGAAUUAAUGGAUUAACAUUAAUUGCUCUGUGGACAAUAAUGAUCCACUAAGCAAAAUACUCCAGAAAUUCUACAUUUAGUAUACUUAUAGAUCAGCAAUUUAUUACUUUAGGGUCUAUUUCACAGUAAAAAUGCAACUUUAUAGUGUGUAUGUCAGGGAACAUUAUUUUCUAUUUGAUAAGGACACUGCAUGAAUUUAGAGACAAUAACUUUUCUCUCUAUUAAUGUCAUCAUUCCACCAAGAGCCUAAGCCACUGACAUACAUUACAAAACACUAGGUCACAGAGAAAAUCACUUUCAAAUUUAUAUUGUGAAUGCACAAGUUAGAUUGAUUUAUACCUGUAAGUGACAAAUUGUUGCUGAAAUAAGAUGAAUGCAUUCACAAGUCAAUAGCUAAAGGAACUGAAAACUGUGCCUAUAUUUAUGCCAUAGCAGUCUGUUAGUUCACAAAGCUGUGGCAGAGGAUGAUAAUGCUGUAUAACCAAGUAUCCAAAAUGUCAAAAAUCUUAGGGAUCUGGCACAUGUAUACCUAUGUAACAAACCUGCAGGUUCUGCACAUGUAUCCCAGAACUUAAAGUACAAUAAUAAAAAAAAAUCUUAGGGAUCUAUUUAAAAUAAACCUCUGGAUACCUGAUUUUAUUCAGAGCACUAACCAUGACAUCAGGUAUCACAUAUUCAUGUUUGAUUUCUGUACAAUUUAAAAAUAAACAGAAGUAAAAUUGAAUAGGGGGAGGGGGAGGGACCCCAAUCUCUUAUCUCUGCUCCCUGAUCCCUUAUUUCCGCACCCCAACCUCUUACCUCUGUGCCCCG
Molecule: long non-coding RNA, 8737 nt
Filed under: Homo sapiens (human)
Lineage: Eukaryota; Metazoa; Chordata; Mammalia; Primates; Hominidae
Description: HSALNT0063401
Source: RNAcentral